Molecule: small RNA, 322 nt
Filed under: Thalassiosira minuscula
Lineage: Eukaryota; Bacillariophyta; Thalassiosirophyceae; Thalassiosirales; Thalassiosiraceae
Description: partial Alphaproteobacteria transfer-messenger RNA
Source: RNAcentral
UAAAUGCUAUCAAAGGGGAGGCAUCAAACCGCGACAGGUCCAGAUGAUCUCAAGCUUCUCAGAUGCAGGGUAUCUCAUUCGGGGUCGCCCCCACCGUUGUACAUGCUUUUUUUGAGCAGACGUAGUUCAAGCGUUUGUUCCGCAACCACUUCCUUGAGGUCCUUUGCCUCUCGGCGCAGUUCCUUCACCUCAUCGGUGUUUGCAGCACGCGCCGUGUCCCCAGCAAGCCGCUUCUUACCGGCUUCCAUAAAGUCCUUGGACCAUUUGUAAUAGAUGCCCUGUGAUAUACCUUCACGGCGACACAGUUCAGCAAUGCUGUACU